AAGAACCCACGUUCUUCUUGGCUCCUAUGU
Molecule: non-coding RNA, 30 nt
Filed under: Rattus norvegicus (Norway rat)
Lineage: Eukaryota; Metazoa; Chordata; Mammalia; Rodentia; Muridae
Source: RNAcentral